RNAcentral lists this ribosomal RNA (427 nucleotides) under uncultured bacterium. RNAcentral's name for it is "partial 16S ribosomal RNA". It matches the Rfam family "Bacterial small subunit ribosomal RNA", at positions 355 to 774 of the family's 1533-position model. The record is from RNAcentral.
UGGGGAAUAUUGCACAAUGGGCGCAAGCCUGAUGCAGCCAUGCCGCGUGUAUGAAGAAGGCCUUCGGGUUGUAAAGUACUUUCAGCGAGGAGGAAGGCGUUGUGGUUAAUAACCGCAACGAUUGACGUUACUCGCAGAAGAAGCACCGGCUAACUCCGUGCCAGCAGCCGCGGUAAUACGGAGGGUGCAAGCGUUAAUCGGAAUUACUGGGCGUAAAGCGCACGCAGGCGGUGUGUCAAGUCGGAUGUGAAAUCCCCGGGCUCAACCUGGGAACUGCAUCCGAAACUGGCAGGAUAGAGUCUUGUAGAGGGGGGUAGAAUUCCAGGUGUAGCGGUGAAAUGCGUAGAGAUCUGGAGGAAUACCGGUGGCGAAGGCGGCCCCCUGGACAAAGACUGACGCUCAGGUGCGAAAGCGUGGGGAGCAAACA